CGCUCGCCUCGGGCAGCAGGUGCUCGAGCACCUCGGGCGCGUUCGCCUCGACGAGCCGCAGGUUCUGGACGCCCUCGCGGGCGGC
RNAcentral lists this transfer RNA (85 nucleotides) under Microbacterium lacticum. RNAcentral's name for it is "tRNA-Pro". Lineage: Bacteria; Bacillati; Actinomycetota; Actinomycetes; Micrococcales; Microbacteriaceae. The record is from RNAcentral.